CCCAGCACGGGGAGGUAGUGACAAAAAAUAACGAUACGGGACUCAUCCGAGGCCCCGUAAUCGGAAUGAAUACACUUUAAAUCCUUUCAUGAGGAUCCAUUGGAGGGCAAGCCUGGUGCCAGCAGCCGCGGUAAUUCCAGCUCCAAUAGCGUAUAUUAAAGUUGUUGCGGUUAAAAAGCUCGUAGUUGGUUCUGUGUGCCAUGCUGUUGGUUCACCGCCUGUCGGUGCUACUAACAUGUCAUGGAACGUCUUGUCGGUGGUAAUUAGAGACUUAUUUUUUAAUAAAAGUUUUACUUUUAUUAAAUAUAGGUUCCUUUAAUUGCCGAUUAGUUCCUACCGCGGUGCUCUUCAUUGAGUGUCGAGGUCGGCCGACAAGUUUACUUUGAACAAAUUAGAGUGCUUAAAGCAGGCAAAAUUCUGCCUUGAAUAGUGGUGCAUGGAAUAAUAGAAUAGGAUCUUGGUUCUAUUUUGCUGGUUUUCUGAAUCCAAGGUAAUGAUCAAUAUGGACAGGCGGGGGCAUUCGUAUUGCGACGUUAGAGGUGAAAUUCUUGGAUCGUCGCAAGACGAACUAGAGCGAAAGCAUUUGCCAAGUAUGUCUUAAUUGAUCAAGAACGAAAGUUAGAGGUUCGAAGGCGAUCAGAUACCGCCCUAGUUCUAACCAUAAACGAUGUCAGCUAGCGAUCCGCCGAUGUUUUUCUCAUGACUCGACGGGCAGCUUCUCGAGAAAUCCAAGCUUUUCGAUUCCGGGGGAAGUAUGGUUGCAAAGCUGAAACUUAAAGGAAUUGACGGAAGGGCACCACCAGGAGUGGAGCUUGCGGUUUAAUUUGACUCAACACGGGAAAACCUCACUAGGCCCCAGACAUUGGAAAGGAUUGACAGAAUUGAUAGCUUCUUUCUUAAUUCAGUGGGGUAGUGGUGCA
RNAcentral lists this ribosomal RNA (920 nucleotides) under Hoplonannus paenebrunneus. RNAcentral's name for it is "SSU rRNA". It matches the Rfam family "Eukaryotic small subunit ribosomal RNA", at positions 450 to 1284 of the family's 1831-position model. The record is from RNAcentral. Lineage: Eukaryota; Metazoa; Arthropoda; Insecta; Hemiptera; Schizopteridae.